UACUAUCAAACGGCCGUUACU
Molecule: non-coding RNA, 21 nt
Filed under: Caenorhabditis elegans
Lineage: Eukaryota; Metazoa; Nematoda; Chromadorea; Rhabditida; Rhabditidae
Source: RNAcentral